Molecule: ribosomal RNA, 947 nt
Filed under: Macrobrachium sp. 3 WS-2020
Lineage: Eukaryota; Metazoa; Arthropoda; Malacostraca; Decapoda; Palaemonidae
Description: SSU rRNA
Rfam family: Eukaryotic small subunit ribosomal RNA
Source: RNAcentral
CACAUCCAAGGAAGGCAGCAGGCACGCAAAUUACCCAAUCCCAGCUCUGGGAGGUAGUGACGAAAAAUAACAAUGCGGGACUCUUCCGAGUCUGCGUAAUUGGAAUGAGCACACUUUAAAUCCUUUAGCAACAACCAAUUGGAGGGCAAGUCUGGUGCCAGCAGCCGCGGUAAUUCCAGCUCCAAUAGCGUAUAUUAAAGUUGUUGCGGUUAAAAAGCUCGUAGUUCGAUUUGAGUUGCGGACUGGUGUGGGAGGUCACCGCCCGGUGCUUGCCCGCCAGGUUCCGAACAGCUUCCGUGAGUGGAAGCCAAGCCGGUUCUGCCGGGGUGCUCUUUACCGAGUGUCCCGCGCGGCCGGCCAGUUCACCUUGAAUAAAUGAGAGUGCUCAAAGCAGGCUACUCUGGAAUACAAUGCCCGAAUGUUAGCUGCAUGGAAUGAUGGAAGAUGAUCUCGGUUGCAUUUUGUUGGUGGUGGCAGCCAGAGGUAAUGAUAAAGAGGGACUGUCGGGGGCAUCCGUACUACGACGCGAGAGGUGAAAUUCAGUGACCGUCGUAGGACGAACAACAGCGAAAGCAUUUGCCAAGAAUGUCUUCGUUGAUCAAGAACGAAAGUUAGAGGAUCGAAGGCGAUCAGAUACCGCCCUAGUUCUAACCCUAAACGAUGCUGACUAGCAAUUCGCCGUCGUUAUUCCCAUGACGUGGCGAGACGCCCCCGGGAAACCUCAAGUCUUUGAGUUCCGGGGGUAGUAUGGUUGCAAAAGUGAAACUUAAAGGAAUUGACGGAAGGGCACCACCAGGAGUGGAGCCUGCGGCUUAAUUUGACUCAACACGGGGAAGCUCACCAGGCCCGGACACCAGAAGGAUUGACAGAUUAAGAGCUCUUUCUCGAUUUGGUGGGUGGUGGUGCAUGGCCGUUCUUAGUUGGUGGAGUGAUUUGUCUGGUUAAUC